UGUGUGUUAGUGGAAGCGUCUGGAAAGGCGCGCGAUACAGGGUGACAGCCCCGUACACAAAAAUGCACAUGCUGUGAGCUCGAUGAGUAGGGCGGGACACGUGGUAUCCUGUCUGAAUAUGGGGGGACCAUCCUCCAAGGCUAAAUACUCCUGACUGACCGAUAGUGAACCAGUACCGUGAGGGAAAGGCGAAAAGAACCCCGGCGAGGGGAGUGAAAAAGAACCUGAAACCGUGUACGUACAAGCAGUGGGAGCACGCUUAGGCGUGUGACUGCGUACCUUUUGUAUAAUGGGUCAGCGACUUAUAUUCUGUAGCAAGGUUAACCGAAUAGGGGAGCCGAAGGGAAACCGAGUCUUAACUGGGCGUUAAGUUGCAGGGUAUAGACCCGAAACCCGGUGAUCUAGCCAUGGGCAGGUUGAAGGUUGGGUAACACUAACUGGAGGACCGAACCGACUAAUGUUGAAAAAUUAGCGGAUGACUUGUGGCUGGGGGUGAAAGGCCAAUCAAACCGGGAGAUAGCUGGUUCUCCCCGAAAGCUAUUUAGGUAGCGCCUCGUGAAUUCAUCUCCGGGGGUAGAGCACUGUUUCGGCAAGGGGGUCAUCCCGACUUACCAACCCGAUGCAAACUGCGAAUACCGGAGAAUGUUAUCACGGGAGACACACGGCGGGUGCUAACGUCCGUCGUGAAGAGGGAAACAACCCAGACCGCCAGCUAAGGUCCCAAAGUCAUGGUUAAGUGGGAAACGAUGUGGGAAGGCCCAGACAGCCAGGAUGUUGGCUUAGAAGCAGCCAUCAUUUAAAGAAAGCGUAAUAGCUCACUGGUCGAGUCGGCCUGCGCGGAAGAUGUAACGGGGCUAAACCAUGCACCGAAGCUGCGGCAGCGACGCUUAUGCGUUGUUGGGUAGGGGAGCGUUCUGUAAGCCUGUGAAGGUGUGCUGUGAGGCAUGCUGGAGGUAUCAGAAGUGCGAAUGCUGACAUAAGUAACGAUAAAGCGGGUGAAAAGCCCGCUCGCCGGAAGACCAAGGGUUCCUGUCCAACGUUAAUCGGGGCAGGGUGAGUCGACCCCUAAGGCGAGGCCGAAAGGCGUAGUCGAUGGGAAACAGGUUAAUAUUCCUGUACUUGGUGUUACUGCGAAGGGGGGACGGAGAAGGCUAUGUUGGCCGGGCGACGGUUGUCCCGGUUUAAGCGUGUAGGCUGGUUUUCCAGGCAAAUCCGGAAAAUCAAGGCUGAGGCGUGAUGACGAGGCACUACGGUGCUGAAGCAACAAAUGCCCUGCUUCCAGGAAAAGCCUCUAAGCAUCAGGUAACAUCAAAUCGUACCCCAAACCGACACAGGUGGUCAGGUAGAGAAUACCAAGGCGCUUGAGAGAACUCGGGUGAAGGAACUAGGCAAAAUGGUGCCGUAACUUCGGGAGAAGGCACGCUGAUAUGUAGGUGAAGUCCCUUGCGGAUGGAGCUGAAAUCAGUCGAAGAUACCAGCUGGCUGCAACUGUUUAUUAAAAACACAGCACUGUGCAAACACGAAAGUGGACGUAUACGGUGUGACGCCUGCCCGGUGCCGGAAGGUUAAUUGAUGGGGUUAGCGCAAGCGAAGCUCUUGAUCGAAGCCCCGGUAAACGGCGGCCGUAACUAUAACGGUCCUAAGGUAGCGAAAUUCCUUGUCGGGUAAGUUCCGACCUGCACGAAUGGCGUAAUGAUGGCCAGGCUGUCUCCACCCGAGACUCAGUGAAAUUGAACUCGCUGUGAAGAUGCAGUGUACCCGCGGCAAGACGGAAAGACCCCGUGAACCUUUACUAUAGCUUGACACUGAACAUUGAGCCUUGAUGUGUAGGAUAGGUGGGAGGCUUGGAAGUGUGGACGCCAGUCUGCAUGGAGCCGACCUUGAAAUACCACCCUUUAAUGUUUGAUGUUCUAACGUUGACCCGUAAUCCGGGUUGCGGACAGUGUCUGGUGGGUAGUUUGACUGGGGCGGUCUCCUCCUAAAGAGUAACGGAGGAGCACGAAGGUUGGCUAAUCCUGGUCGGACAUCAGGAGGUUAGUGCAAUGGCAUAAGCCAGCUUGACUGCGAGCGUGACGGCGCGAGCAGGUGCGAAAGCAGGUCAUAGUGAUCCGGUGGUUCUGAAUGGAAGGGCCAUCGCUCAACGGAUAAAAGGUACUCCGGGGAUAACAGGCUGAUACCGCCCAAGAGUUCAUAUCGACGGCGGUGUUUGGCACCUCGAUGUCGGCUCAUCACAUCCUGGGGCUGAAGUAGGUCCCAAGGGUAUGGCUGUUCGCCAUUUAAAGUGGUACGCGAGCUGGGUUUAGAACGUCGUGAGACAGUUCGGUCCCUAUCUGCCGUGGGCGCUGGAGAACUGAGGGGGGCUGCUCCUAGUACGAGAGGACCGGAGUGGACGCAUCACUGGUGUUCGGGUUGUCAUGCCAAUGGCACUGCCCGGUAGCUAAAUGCGGAAGAGAUAAGUGCUGAAAGCAUCUAAGCACGAAACUUGCC
Molecule: ribosomal RNA, 2487 nt
Filed under: Escherichia coli
Lineage: Bacteria; Pseudomonadati; Pseudomonadota; Gammaproteobacteria; Enterobacterales; Enterobacteriaceae
Description: partial 23S ribosomal RNA
Rfam family: Bacterial large subunit ribosomal RNA
Source: RNAcentral